AGAAUUGCAGGAGGAACAUUCUGAAGAAGGAAGAGAGCAUGGGCCAUUGCACAAGAUAAAAGAAAAAAGCAAAAUGUUAAUACUGAUGUAAGAUACAAGAACAAGAAGAUUUGUAAGUAUGUUUCCAAAAAAAAAUUCUAAAAGAACCUCUACCUUCCUGGGUAGAUCCCAAUAAGUAGUGAAAAGGUAAUAACAUGCUAAAAGAAAUUUUUACACUACAUAGUCUAGGUAAUGAUCAUUUGCAAAACAUAAACAAGCGAUAAAUCUGAGACAAUAUGAUUGUCAAUUGCAAGAACUUCAUUGUUGAAGUUAUAACACAUCAUAAACACAGACUUGCUGACACACCAUCACCUAACAAAAUGGUUAAAUACAGAGUGUUAAAGUUAAUUGUCCAAGCAGUAUUUAUUUCCAAUUAUUUCCCAG
Molecule: unclassified non-coding RNA, 423 nt
Filed under: Hevea brasiliensis (rubber tree)
Lineage: Eukaryota; Viridiplantae; Streptophyta; Magnoliopsida; Malpighiales; Euphorbiaceae
Source: RNAcentral